CCUACGGGUGGCAGCAGUAGGGAAUUUUCCACAAUGGGCGAAAGACUUAUGGAGCAACGCCGCGUGUGUGAUGAAGGCUUUCGGGUCGUAAAGCACUGUUGUAUGGGAAGCACAGCUAGAAUAGGAAAUGAUUUUAGUUUGACGGUACCAUACCAGAAAGGGACGGCUAAAUACGUGCCAGCAGCCGCGGUAAUACGUAUGUCCCGAGCGUUAUCCGGAGUUAUUGGGCGUAAAGCGAGAGCAGACGGUUGAGUAAGUCAGAUGUGAAAACCCGUAGCUCAACUCCGGAAUGGCAUUGGAAACGGGUUAACUUGAGUUCAGUAUAGGGAAGUUGAACUCCGUGUAUAUCGGUGGAAUGCGUAGAUAUAUGGAAGACCACCAGUGGCGAAGGCGGCUUACUGGACUGCAACUGACGUUGAGGCUCGAAAGUGUGGGUAGCAAACAGGAUUAGAUACCCCGGUAGUC
This 465-nucleotide ribosomal RNA is filed under the name uncultured Leuconostoc sp. Its description in RNAcentral is "bacterial SSU rRNA". It matches the Rfam family "Bacterial small subunit ribosomal RNA", at positions 338 to 795 of the family's 1533-position model. Lineage: Bacteria; Bacillati; Bacillota; Bacilli; Lactobacillales; Lactobacillaceae. The record is from RNAcentral.